CACACACCGCCCGUCAAGCCAUGGAAGCUGGGUGUACCUAAAGUCGGUAACCGCAAGGAGGCAGCUGACCACGGUGGGAUCAGCGACUGGGGUG
Molecule: ribosomal RNA, 94 nt
Filed under: uncultured bacterium
Lineage: Bacteria
Description: partial 16S ribosomal RNA
Source: RNAcentral